Quercus robur (English oak) is the source of this 294-nucleotide long non-coding RNA. RefSeq lists it as uncharacterized. The transcript is spliced from 2 exons. The record is from RefSeq and is a predicted model, not a curated record. NCBI's taxonomy places the organism in Eukaryota, Viridiplantae, Streptophyta, Magnoliopsida, Fagales, Fagaceae.
UAAUGAUCUUUACAAGUUCAUCCAAACACCAUGUAGAAGAUGCAUAGUUUCUUGAAAGAAUGACAAUUGCAAACCUUGAUUUUUCUAUUGCUUUCAAAAGCUCUGAUGAAAUAGAUUUUCCCGUCUCAAGUUUUUCCUCGUCUCUAAAGGUGAGAAUGCCCUUUUGUUUUAAGGCAACAUAUAGAUGGUCAGUAAAUCUAUUGCGUGUGUCCUCACCUCUAAAGCUGAGAAAGACAUCGUAUUUCCAUUGUGGUGUUGAAGAAGAAAUUGAUGACAAAGAUGAGGCAGAUUGAG